RNAcentral lists this ribosomal RNA (332 nucleotides) under Arxiozyma telluris. RNAcentral's name for it is "Kazachstania telluris ribosomal RNA". Lineage: Eukaryota; Fungi; Ascomycota; Saccharomycetes; Saccharomycetales; Saccharomycetaceae. The record is from RNAcentral.
GAGAAACAAAAAGCUGUCUCGUGGAGAGCGCUGGGGGGAGCCAUGGGGGAGUGCGUAUGCUGCGGGCCAGCCAGCGCUUAGUUGCGCGGCGCCCGUGGGUGCUCUGCCGGGAGCCCUCUGCUAAGGAGCUCUGCAUGUAGAACACACACACAGUGGAGACACGUAUGCACGUUUUUCUGGGUGCACAUAUGGUGCUUUGGGCUGGCGACGGCCCAGAGUGCAGCACGCAAAACACAAACAAAAGUGGAGUGUAGGAAACAGUCAGCAAAGAGACACGAGUUCUGGGGCAGUGCGCGAGCGCUGUGGCAGGACGAGUGAUAUACAAAUCUUCA